GAGGUAAUGGCUCACCAAGGCGACGACGGGUAGCCGGCCUGAGAGGGCGACCGGCCACACUGGGACUGAGACACGGCCCAGACUCCUACGGGAGGCAGCAGUGGGGAAUAUUGGGCAAUGGAGGAAACUCUGACCCAGCGACGCCGCGUGCGGGAUGAAGGCCUUCGGGUUGUAAACCGCUUUCGGCAAGGAAGAAGCGAAAGUGACGGUACUUGCAGAAGAAGCACCGGCUAACUAUGUGCCAGCAGCCGCGGUAAUACAUAGGGUGCAAGCGUUGUCCGGAAUUAUUGGGCGUAAAGAGCUCGUAGGUGGUUCGUCACGUCGGAUGUGAAAAUCUGGGGCUUAACCCCAGACCUGCAUUCGAUACGGGCGAGCUAGAGUGUGGUAGGGGAGACUGGUAUUCCUGGUGUAGCGGUGGAAUGCGCAGAUAUCAGGAGGAACACCAAUGGCGAAGGCAGGUCUCUGGGCCAUUACUGACACUGAGGAGCGAAAGCGUGGGGAGCGAACAGGAUUAGAUACCCUGGUAGUCCACGCCGUAAACGGUGGGCACUAGUUGUGGGAAUCUUCCACGGUUUCUGCGACGCAGCUAACGCAUUAAGUGCCCCGCCUGGGGAG
RNAcentral lists this ribosomal RNA (615 nucleotides) under uncultured bacterium. RNAcentral's name for it is "bacterial SSU rRNA". It matches the Rfam family "Bacterial small subunit ribosomal RNA", at positions 254 to 880 of the family's 1533-position model. The record is from RNAcentral.